AGCCGAGUCACCACAGGUUUUCCUGCAGGUGAUUCUUGGUGGGGUUGGGACCUCCUGAGCAGUGCAGGGACAGGGGACAGCCCCGCAGGAACAAGGGGACAGCUGGGUGUGCAGGACCCACAUCCCUCCUCCCUUGUGGAGCAGGAUGGGCUGUGGACGGGCUGUGGGGGCUCCGGGCACGGGCACACGGCUGGGGGCAGAUGGGCACCUGUGAGCUGGAGGAGCCGAAAGCUGAGAAACGGUCCCCAAAAUCACUGUCACUUCGAGGUUUCAGGAACCUCACAGGGCAUGGGCACAGCCCCAGGGUGCCCACCCUCUCACCUCCACCUCACAGGGAGCAGAGAUAUGACCGAAUAGAUCCAGUUACACGUCUGUCUGUGAACUGCAAAGAUUGAAUUUGGUUGUUCCUUUACCCUGAGAAUCGCCGACAGAGAUCACAGGGAAAAAAAACAGAGCACAAGCUGCCGUCCCAGCCUUUGUGGGGCCACGGGGCUCUGCCGGAGCAUCCCCAGCCCUUGGCAGUGCAGGGGGUCGGAGCUGCCUCCAUGCAUGGCUGGGAAUCGUCUCCAACAUCCUCGCCGCGAGGGAGCCAGGCACUGUCAGCUCGCG
Molecule: long non-coding RNA, 609 nt
Filed under: Anas platyrhynchos platyrhynchos (common mallard)
Lineage: Eukaryota; Metazoa; Chordata; Aves; Anseriformes; Anatidae
Description: lncRNA (ENSAPLG00000027955.1)
Source: RNAcentral